Rosa chinensis is the source of this 2119-nucleotide long non-coding RNA. RefSeq lists it as uncharacterized. Lineage: Eukaryota; Viridiplantae; Streptophyta; Magnoliopsida; Rosales; Rosaceae. The transcript is spliced from 3 exons. The record is from RefSeq and is a predicted model, not a curated record.
AUCAGGGGGAGUAUCCAGAUACAUACUCCACACUCAAUGCGCAUUGUGCUCUUUUUCUCCUUCGACCAAGGUUGUUUUUUCCCACAUGGUUUUAUUACUUGGCAAGGUUUUUAACGAGGCAAUUUCGAAGCGCAUGGCCUAGACAAUACUAUUGACAUGAAAUAUCCAAGGGGGAGUGUUGUAGUAUAUAUGAUUAUUGUUGUCAUAGUUUAUAUGUCUAUAUCAUGUAUAGGAUAUGUACUUGAGUAUAAAGAGGGGUGCUUAAGUGUAAAGAUAGGUAUAGUGACUUGUAUGAUAAGCUUUAUGCCAAAGGGGAACAAGCAUGGUUAUCUCCAUCAUCACAGCCACAAUGCCACAAUGUAAAGCUAGAAAUGGAGCUGUCAUCAAAGUUGUAUCAUUCUUUAAGCAUCUCACACCUCAAUUGUAUUCCUAUAAAUACCUCCUUGUAUGAGAUGAAUAAACACACUUGAAAACUCCAUUCUCUCUGAAAGAUUACCCUCUCUCUGUGUUUCAUUUUAUACUUGUCCUCAAACAUUAUUAUCUUUUUCUCAAAGCUAAUAUUUUUGCAGUCUGCAUAUGGUUCUGCAUAGAAACUUUAAUGUAUUUAUAAACAAAAUGAUGGCUAUUAAUCUAUGGUAGUAGCCAUUCCAGAUCAGUUCACCAAGUAUUCUCCUGAUGGCUUUUUCAGGUGACAUAUAAUACACUUUUAAGGGCUCGUAGCAGAUAUGGUUCUGUAAGUGAAGUACAACAAACUGGCUCUAUAUAUAUAAGGACAUGCGGAAAGCAGGGUAGAUCAUCUUGAAUUUCAAUUCCAAAUGAAUAUCUACAUUUUACUAAUUAAGAAUUUUACUUUGCAGUUACAAGCCCAAUGAUUAUUACCUUGAGCAACUAAUUGAGGAGUGGUGUGAAGGAGUUAUACAAGACAGCAGCCCGAAACAAGGCGAGUUCAGUUACUGGGACAAAGCGGACAUAGGGAGAUCUGGAAGUCUGCUUCUUCAAAAAGUUGCAGAACACUUGCAACGGCAUAUUGCUGACACUUUAGCAGUUCAUCUUCAAGGACUUACAACAAGUCAGUAGAUUUUUCAAAGCAAAGUUGCUACAUUAGAUUGGUUGAAGCUUGGAUCGUUGUUCUUGCAGUUCUGCGAAUGAUCAAAGAGAAGAAUACGUUAGGAGAUUCAGUAAAAGAUGACAUGUUGAUCAUGGUAGGAGUCCAUGAUGUGGUCGAUGGAGGUUCAACAGCUCACAAUUUAGAGGUCAAAAAUGCAAUAACCAAGCUUCUACUGGAUGACUUGGGGCUCAAGGUUCUUUCAACAGUACCUAAAGUUGCACUUGAUACUACAAUAAUAUCCGAGAACACUAAUGAUUCAGAUCAAAAUUUGGAAGAAAAGACAGUAAGGAAUGAAUUACAGUCAGAGUUGAUUUAUUACGCUAGAAGACCAGUGGUUCUGGAAAGGCUACACGUAUCCAGGAAAUCAUUGCAACAAUGGCUGCGGAAAAGUUCCCUUAGGAGGUGAUAUAAGAAAGCAGAAAUUUGUACAUGCUAUUCAUAGAACAAUAGUUAUUCAUCCAAAAAAGGAAAAAGAAAAAGAGAGAACAAUAAUUACCUGUCCUCAUAAACGAGGAGUGAGUCAUGAACACACAAGACCAGAACUUGCCUUGUGCCAACCCAUCGAGUCUGUUGUACUGAUCCAUAUCACAUGUAAAUUACGAACUGACGGCAAAUGUUUGCAAAAACAAUGAAGAUUCUUUCAGCUUCGUAUGAGGUUUUCAGAAACUUGCUGAUCUGGAAAACCAACCAGGCAACCACAAGUUCUUUCAAUCUCUCACGAUCUGCAGCCGAACUGGCAAAAUUGAAAAUGCUAGAGAAUGCUCCAAAUUGGGUCAGCUGUAGGCAAAUGAGUAUAAUUCUAUAUUCAUCAUAUGGAGAAACCAAAGGAUUUUGAUUCACAAGUCACAUCAUGAUUCAUGUAAUCAAGUUGUAGAGUACAUCAAAACCAAACCUACACAGCUAUCCUCAAAUCAAAACAACAAAAUCUCUAAACAUCCAAAUACUCAGUGAGUUGUAAGGAGCCUCAGAAGCAACAAGAGCAAUCAAAUGGACAAAAAGGGGUCCUUCCAG